CUGUUAGUGAUGAUGUAUAAAGC
Molecule: non-coding RNA, 23 nt
Filed under: Cricetulus griseus (Chinese hamster)
Lineage: Eukaryota; Metazoa; Chordata; Mammalia; Rodentia; Cricetidae
Source: RNAcentral